GGGUAGCUAUGUAUGGACGGGAUAAGUGCUGAAAGCAUCUAAGCAUGAAGCCCCCCUCAAGAUGAGAUUUCCCAACUUCGGUUAUAAGAUCCCUCAAAGAUGAUGAGGUUAAUAGGUUCGAGGUGGAAGCGUAGCGAUACGUGGAGCUGACGAAUACUAAUCGAUCGAAGACUUAAUCAAUUU
This 183-nucleotide ribosomal RNA is filed under the name Staphylococcus agnetis. Its description in RNAcentral is "partial 23S ribosomal RNA". It matches the Rfam family "Bacterial large subunit ribosomal RNA", at positions 2743 to 2925 of the family's 2925-position model. The record is from RNAcentral. Lineage: Bacteria; Bacillati; Bacillota; Bacilli; Caryophanales; Staphylococcaceae.